UGGGGAAUAUUGCACAAUGGGCGAAAGCCUGAUGCAGCGACGCCGCGUGAGGGAUGACGGCCUUCGGGUUGUAAACCUCUUUCAGCAGGGACGAAGCGCAAGUGACGGUACCUGCAGAAGAAGCACCGGCUAACUACGUGCCAGCAGCCGCGGUAAUACGUAGGGUGCAAGCGUUGUCCGGAAUUACUGGGCGUAAAGAGUUCGUAGGCGGUUUGUCGCGUCGUUUGUGAAAACCAGCAGCUCAACUGCUGGCUUGCAGGCGAUACGGGCAGACUUGAGUACUGCAGGGGAGACUGGAAUUCCUGGUGUAGCGGUGAAAUGCGCAGAUAUCAGGAGGAACACCGGUGGCGAAGGCGGGUCUCUGGGCAGUAACUGACGCUGAGGAACAAAAGCGUGGGUAGCGAACAGG
This 409-nucleotide ribosomal RNA is filed under the name bacterium. RNAcentral's name for it is "partial 16S ribosomal RNA". It matches the Rfam family "Bacterial small subunit ribosomal RNA", at positions 355 to 776 of the family's 1533-position model. The record is from RNAcentral.